UCCAAAUGAUGGACAGUAUAA
RNAcentral lists this non-coding RNA (21 nucleotides) under Caenorhabditis elegans. Lineage: Eukaryota; Metazoa; Nematoda; Chromadorea; Rhabditida; Rhabditidae. The record is from RNAcentral.